AGGACGAACGCUGGCGGCGUGCCUAACACAUGCAAGUCGAACGGAGUUGCCCUUCGGGACAACUUAGUGGCGAACGGGUGAGUAACGCGUGAGGAACCUGCCUUUCAGUGGGGGACAACAGUUGGAAACGACUGCUAAUACCGCAUAAUGUCAUCGAGCGGCAUCGCUUGAUGACCAAAGAUUUAUUGCUGAAAGAUGGCCUCGCGUCUGAUUAGCUAGUUGGUGGGGUAACGGCCCACCAAGGCGACGAUCAGUAGCCGGUCUGAGAGGAUGAACGGCCACAUUGGGACUGAGAUACGGCCCAGACUCCUACGGGAGGCAGCAGUGGGGAAUAUUGGGCAAUGGGGGAAACCCUGACCCAGCAACGCCGCGUGAAGGAAGAAGGCCUUCGGGUUGUAAACUUCUUUUACCAGGGACGAAUAAUGACGGUACCUGGAGAAAAAGCAACGGCUAACUACGUG
This 461-nucleotide ribosomal RNA is filed under the name uncultured bacterium. RNAcentral's name for it is "bacterial SSU rRNA". It matches the Rfam family "Bacterial small subunit ribosomal RNA", at positions 26 to 507 of the family's 1533-position model. The record is from RNAcentral.